CGGGCGAGUGCGGUUCCUUUUGUGUGUGUGGGUGCGUGGCGUCGCGGUUAGUGUAGUGAGUGUGUUGAUCCUAUUGAAUGCGUCUUCCUCGCGUUGGAUUUGGUGAGUACCCGUAUCACAGGUCACACCGUGGGACUGACACCGCUGGAGCAACCCUUCGGAAUAAAGUAAAGUACAAAUUACGGUUUGCUAGGCGUUAGAUGUUAGGCAUAGGGCGAUAGGCGGCGCGGCUAACCAUUCUCUUCCAGGUACAAACUAACCUUCUCUUCCAGGUACAUGUUAAUUAUCUAGUCUUCCCCAGUAAUGCCCUGGUUAGCGCACCGUGGCGGCGAUCCAAGAGCCUCGUACUGGUGGCGGUGGUGGUGGCGUGGCUGGCUGGCUGGCUGGCUGGCUGUGGCGGGCGUGCACGUGCUAUAUCAUAUGGGUUGCGUGGUAGAUGCGUUCACUGGUCUGGGCUGUGUUGGUGCGUGCUCUGAAGAGAUGACCGCAGACACGCUGGCUGCUGAUGACUAGACCCUCACAGAGGCAGUGUACUGUACAAGCUGGAUGGAAGUAUGCAAACCUCGCAAUGAAGAUGGAAAAGGUGAGGAAAUGGUUCUAUCUUGACUUUUGGCUAAAAUAAGCGUCUUGGGUGUGUGUGUGUGUGUGUUUCACUGUUUGAUCUGCUGCUGUCUCUGACGAGACAGCCAGACGUUACCCUACGGAAUGAGCUCAG
Long non-coding RNA from Portunus trituberculatus (swimming crab), 715 nucleotides. RefSeq lists it as uncharacterized. NCBI's taxonomy places the organism in Eukaryota, Metazoa, Arthropoda, Malacostraca, Decapoda, Portunidae. The transcript is spliced from 3 exons. The record is from RefSeq and is a predicted model, not a curated record.